RNAcentral lists this ribosomal RNA (214 nucleotides) under uncultured bacterium. Its description in RNAcentral is "partial 16S ribosomal RNA". It matches the Rfam family "Bacterial small subunit ribosomal RNA", at positions 119 to 334 of the family's 1533-position model. The record is from RNAcentral.
CGGAACGUGCCCUGGAGUGGGGGAUAACGCAGCGAAAGUUGCGCUAAUACCGCAUACGAUCUAAGGAUGAAAGUGGGGGACCUGCAAGGGCCUCAUGCUCCUGGAGCGGCCGAUAUCUGAUUAGCUAGUUGGUGGGGUAAAGGCCCACCAAGGCAUCGAUCAGUAGCUGGUCUGAGAGGACGACCAGCCACACUGGAACUGAGACACGGUCCAG